AACGCUGGCGGCGUGCCUCAGACAUGCAAGUCGAACGCGAAAGGAGGUCUUCGGAUCUUGAGUAGAGUGGCGCACGGGUGAGUAACACGUAGGUAAUCUACCUUCGGGUGGGGAAUAACCCAGGGAAACUUGGGCUAACACCGCAUAAUGCAGCGGCACCACAUGGUGACAGUUGUUAAAGCGGGGGAUCUUAGGACCUCGCGCCUGAAGAGGAGCCUGCGGCGGAUUAGCUAGUUGGUGAGGUAAUGGCUCACCAAGGUAACGAUCCGUAGCCGGCCUGAGAGGGCGGUCGGCCACACUGACACUGACAUACGGGUCAGACUCCUACGGGAGGCAGCAGUCGGGAAUUUUGGGCAAUGGGCGAAAGCCUGACCCAGCAACGCCGCGUGAAGGAUGAAAUCCCUCGGGAUGUAAACUUCGCAAGAAUGGAAAGAAUAAGUGAGCGCUAACACCGCUCGUGAUGACGGUACCAUUUGUAAGCUCCGGCUAACUCCGUGCCAGCAGCCGCGGUAAUACGGGGGGAGCAAGCGUUGUUCGGAUUUACUGGGCGUAAAGGGCGCGUAGGCGGCCACUGCAAGUCAGUUGUGAAAUCUCCGGGCUUAACUCGGAAAGGUCAACUGAUACUGCAGGGCUAGAGUGCGGAAGGGGCAACUGGAAUUCUCGGUGUAGCGGUGAAAUGCGUAGAUAUCGAGAGGAACACCUGCGGCGAAGGCGGGUUGCUGGGCCGACACUGACGCUGAUGCGCGAAAGCCAGGGGAGCGAACGG
RNAcentral lists this ribosomal RNA (766 nucleotides) under uncultured Acidobacteriota bacterium. RNAcentral's name for it is "bacterial SSU rRNA". It matches the Rfam family "Bacterial small subunit ribosomal RNA", at positions 32 to 775 of the family's 1533-position model. Lineage: Bacteria; Pseudomonadati; Acidobacteriota. The record is from RNAcentral.